GACGAACGCUGGCGGCGUGCUUAACACAUGCAAGUCGAACGGUGAAGCGCCUUCCUUUUUGGUGGGUGUGGAUGAGUGGCGAACGGGUGAGUAACACGUGAGUAACCUGCCCCCUUCUUCUGGAUAACCGCAUGAAAGUGUGGCUAAUACGGGAUAUUCUGGGUCUGCCGCAUGAUGGGUCUGGGAAAGAUAUUGUUUCGGUGGGGGAUGGGCUCGCGGCCUAUCAGCUUGUUGGUGGGGUGAUGGCCUACCAAGGCGGUGACGGGUAGCCGGCCUGAGAGGGUGGACGGUCACACUGGGACUGAGACACGGACCAGACUCCUACGGGAGGCAGCAGUGGGGAAUAUUGCACAAUGGGCGCAAGCCUGAUGCAGCGACGCCGCGUGAGGGAUGGAGGCCUUCGGGUUGUGAACCUCUUUCGCCAGUGAAGCAGGCCUGCCUCGUUUGUGGGUGGGUUGACGGUAGCUGGAUAAGAAGCGCCGGCUAACUACGUG
Molecule: ribosomal RNA, 494 nt
Filed under: uncultured bacterium
Lineage: Bacteria
Description: partial 16S ribosomal RNA
Rfam family: Bacterial small subunit ribosomal RNA
Source: RNAcentral